RNAcentral lists this ribosomal RNA (537 nucleotides) under Boeremia exigua. RNAcentral's name for it is "eukaryotic LSU rRNA". The stretch from base 162 to 315 matches the Rfam family "5.8S ribosomal RNA". The record is from RNAcentral. Lineage: Eukaryota; Fungi; Ascomycota; Dothideomycetes; Pleosporales; Didymellaceae.
GGGCCUGCGGAAGGAUCAUURSCUAGAGUUGUAGGCUUUGCCUACCAUCUCUUACCCAUGUCUUUUGAGUACCUUCGUUUCCUCGGCGGGUCCGCCCGCCGAUUGGACAAACUUAAACCCUUUGUAAUUGAAAUCAGCGUCUGAAAAAACAUAAUAGUUACAACUUUCAACAACGGAUCUCUUGGUUCUGGCAUCGAUGAAGAACGCAGCGAAAUGCGAUAAGUAGUGUGAAUUGCAGAAUUCAGUGAAUCAUCGAAUCUUUGAACGCACAUUGCGCCCCUUGGUAUUCCAUGGGGCAUGCCUGUUCGAGCGUCAUUUGUACCUUCAAGCUCUGCUUGGUGUUGGGUGUUUGUCUCGCCUUUGCGUGUAGACUCGCCUUAAAACAAUUGGCAGCCGGCGUAUUGAUUUCGGAGCGCAGUACAUCUCGCGCUUUGCACUCAUAACGACGACGUCCAAAAAGUACUUUUUACACUCUUGACCUCGGAUCAGGUAGGGAWACCCGMAUGAACUUAAGCAUAUCAAAAGCCCGGAGGAAAA